AGGAGGAGGUUUUAAGAAAAGGUAGAAAAAAAAUAAAAAGGAAAAGCUCCUCUUAUUUAGUAUACUCGAUUUUGGAUUAGACACUGUGACGUAUCCGGCGCAUGGUUGGAUAAAGAGUUUUAUUGAGAGCAAUUUUUUUUUUUUGGCAUUGUGUUCUUUCUCUUCCUCUCUCUCUCGCAAAUCUCUCAAUCGGAGAAGACUGGAAUCGAAGGAGAUUGAACUGGAAUCGGGUCUUGUUCCCGGACUAAAUUCUGGUCAGUAUGAGGAACACAUGAACCAUGGAGCUGGGAUCUAUGCUGUUCCUGUGCAUCAAUUUGGAGGACAUGUCACUGGUCUUCCUUCAAAUUAUCUUAUCCCUCUCACUUACAAUGUUCCCAUGUAAGUAAUUCUUUUCAAUCUCCCAUGGUUUUGUUGGAGUAGCCCUCAAUACUCGAUCAUGCCAUUGCGUCUUCAUAGCUAGAAGAAUUAAGGAGUUUUGUAAACCAUUGUUUAGUUCAAAUUACUGAUGGUUUCGGCUUCAGAUAAAUUAAUGUGUAGAAAGGUAUAGGCUUGAUGGGGGUUGAUGGUUUGUUUUUUAUUGUUUAGCACUAGACAUCGCACCUUGCGAUUUUGCAGGAUAAAGAAGCAGAGAAAGAGGGUGAUGGUUCAAGGAGAGGGCUUCGGUUCCCUGCAAAUUCUCCACGAACACGAACAAUUGGUUUUAUUUUGUUGCAGGCUUGGCUUGAUAUUGUAAGUCUUUUUUUGCUUAGCUCUGUUGCAGACAAGACUUAACAAAUUGGUAGAGACUUUCACACCUCUUGCUCCUUGUUCUGCUUAGUUGAAGCUCUCCUGCAGCCUACCCAGGCUCUGAUGCAGUUCCAGAUAUUCCAUCGCUGAAGGUGAGACCUUUAGAGCUACCAGAAUCUCAUGUGUGUGUUGUUGUUCUUUGAAAUCUAAAUGGACUUGGUGCCCACGCCCAACCACACUCAGCAAUGGUUCGUGUUUCAGUCUGAUGGUUCAUUCAUUGUGAGCCCAAUCUUCUUGUGUACUUUGUCAUCUUGUAUCCAAAUCUCUGUUUGGUAAUCAUUGUAUCGAGAGAAUACAAUUAAUUUGUCUAAUCUCUGUUUGGUAAUCAACAGUUUGCUUUGUUGAUCUGUUCCAUAUUUUGUUUCUUUUG
Camelina sativa (false flax) is the source of this 1156-nucleotide non-coding RNA. NCBI's taxonomy places the organism in Eukaryota, Viridiplantae, Streptophyta, Magnoliopsida, Brassicales, Brassicaceae. The record is from RefSeq and is a predicted model, not a curated record.